This 356-nucleotide unclassified non-coding RNA is filed under the name Hevea brasiliensis (rubber tree). The record is from RNAcentral. Lineage: Eukaryota; Viridiplantae; Streptophyta; Magnoliopsida; Malpighiales; Euphorbiaceae.
GCUAAAAGCAGCUUUUGAGCUUCUAAAUUCGAUGCCUGUGGAACCUCAUGCAAGUGCUUGGGGUGCACUUCUCGGAGCUUGUAAGCUGUAUGGCGAGGUUGAGUUGGGGGAAGUUGUUGCUAGGCGAUUGUUUGAGCUUGAACCCAAAAAUUCCGGUUCUUAUGUGCUUUUGUCGAGCAUAUAUGCUGCAGCAGAGCAGUGGCAGGAUUUUGCUAUUGUUAGGGACAAAAUGAGGGAGAGAGGGUUUAGGAAAAUACCUGGUCGUAGUUGGAUAUCUCAUAAUAGGUAGGAUCUCUUGGCACCACCUCAAUGACCCCAUUUGUCUGUCCAGAAUCAGAAGGAAUUGGGAAAACGAA